CGCAUAUACUCAUGUAUGAACUUAGCAAGUUCUGGCCAGGACCCUCUUUCUCCUGCAGACUUCCGCUCUUGCUAUGAUAAAGAAAAGUGGAUACUGGGUUGGAGGCAAGGCCCUGCUCAUUCCUAUGAAAGCUGCUCAGUGGCACAAGAAGCCAAAAAUGUUUGACUUCCCAGGCUAUACCCUGUACCCUGCCUCUCACCCGAUGUCAGCUGGGAUAGGCUCCAGACACCCCGCGACCCUCAAGAGUAUGAAGCGGUUAGAAGAUGAAUGAAUGAAUGAAUGAAUGAAAGAUAGUUUGAUGAGG
Epinephelus fuscoguttatus (brown-marbled grouper) is the source of this 304-nucleotide long non-coding RNA. RefSeq lists it as uncharacterized. The transcript is spliced from 3 exons. The record is from RefSeq and is a predicted model, not a curated record. Lineage: Eukaryota; Metazoa; Chordata; Actinopteri; Perciformes; Serranidae.